CUGAACACAGCAGAGACCAAGCUGGUGACUGCCAUGGAUAGCCCUGUAUCCAGACUGGCAUUUCACUGUUCCUAGGAAUUUCAUCCUCCAGCUGGUCUGGGGGUUGGACAACUGGCACGACAAGGAGUGGCUGCUUGAAUGCAGUAAUGCAUUCCAAGUCUAAAAUUGUUCCCAGGCCAAGUGUGGGGAGAUGGCCAAGUGGAGGAAUAACUCCAGCCUUGGGCAAUCUUCACAGUUUGGCUGGGAUUUUCAGAGAACUGUAGAGAUGGAUUUUUCCUGAGAACUGAUGGCACCAUCUUUUCCUUGGUGUGUUUGCACUUAGUAGUCAGGUUUUAGAAAGCUUGAGCUAGUUCUCUCUGAAACCGUUUUGGCCUUGGUUGGGUGAGGAGGUGUCUGCAAGGAGCAGUUUGAUUUGUUCCCUCCAUCUGCCCUUGCAGGAAGAACUUGUCCUGUGUGCUUUGGAGCUGGAGCAGCUGCCCCAGCACUGGAACCUGGGCUGGGAGCAAGGGAAGGGAGGGGUAUGGAUUUGGGUCAAACAUCACCAGCCUGCUGAACCUGGGAGUGCAUUCGAGGGCUGGCACAUAGCUCUUGGGCAGGGUUGGAACUCUGAAGACCUGUAGCCAAAGCCCCAUCAAUUCCUGUCUGAAGCAUCACUUGGACUGAUGUUUUCUGUUAGACUGAAUCCAGCAGAUCCCACAUUUUUGCCAUGGCCCCACUGUGCUUCUUGGUUAGGUCACUUUAAAACUGACAAAGGUGCUUCUUUGGAGCAGGGGCUUUGUAUUCCUAAGAAUCCCAGAGCUCCUCUUGGUGCCUGCUGUAAGUGCAGAUGCCUGAGAGCACCUGGAAUGUGCUGGGAGGGAGGACUGAAGAUGAUCAGGAAGAGGGCAUAUUGUAGAUAGGCUUCUUUCAAGGCUGCUCAUGAUCUGUUUAGAGCUCCUUGGACUAUGGAAUAGCUGGGCUAGUGUGUUUUCCAGCAGGUUCUGGAGGCCCUUCAGGCUCUGGGAGACCAAGUGAAGACUGUUUUGUGGGAAGGUCCCCCUGCUAUGCUGAAGCAAGGAGUGGCCUCUCUCAAAGACACCUCUGGUAAACUGUCUAUUGCAGGAGCACCUUCAAAACAGUCUGCCUGGAUCAUUCUCAUCACCAUUCUUAAGCCACUCUAAAUUAAUUGUUACCUCUUCCCUAUCCUGCCUUUCACCCUCUACCAUCCAGUGCCAAGCCACAGGUCAGGAAAAGCCAAGAUGCCUCUGCUUCACCUGCUGCUGGGUACUUGGUGUUUACAGGUGUAGUCUUGGGAGGAAGCUUUUUUGAAUAUCCUGCAGAAUACCCUAAGAUUUCUGUACUUGGUGUGGAUGGUUUUGUUUUUUUAGCUGGAGUUACAUAACUGCUAAGUUGAAAGGAGUGGAGGGAGAGGAGAUCACUCCUUUGGAAACAGAAAUAAAUAUAAGCAAGGUGGGAAAUGAAGCCAAGAAGGCUUUUGGCACAUUGCUUCCAAGGCAGUAAAAUGGUCUGUUCCACAGUAAGCAAGUUCCUGAAAACAGCAGGGAAUGCUCUGGUGACGUUCAGUGCUGCUGCUGGAGGCUGGGGUUUACUGAUAACCCUGCUUGGAAGGCCAAGGAGUCAUUGUCCCAUUCUGAAUUCCAGACAGUGGGACAGAAGGGAGUAGGACCCAGUGCCAUAGGAACAGCGUGACUAAGCCAGUGCCUUCAGCUCUGUGGCCUAAAACUGAGUCUGCUCACUAGAUGUGGUGAAUAGAGCUGUGCUCUGGCCUCUCCCUUGUGUCCCUUUCCUAGUCUCAGAUCCUUGGAAUACCUUCAUGGCAGGUUCUGCAGGCUGGAGGGGCCGGGUGUGUGGGCGAACAGGUACUGCACCCCUGAAUCCAGACCUGCUACCCAUACCUGUGGCUAAGUGGUGGUCUGGGCUCUGAACUUGAAAGCUUAUGGGGACUCUUCGGGCCUGUGAACCAGAAAUGUGGUGUUUUGGAGCCUGCAGGGAAAGCAGACCAAGCUAUGAAGAUGUGGUGGUGGCUGGAAGCUUUGUAGGUCACAGGUCCUGGAGCCUCAGAUGUCCUUGGAGAAGGCUCUGGGUGCACGCCUGGGGUCUGUUGUGCUCUUUGAUUUCAGAGCUGUGGUUGCACAGCAGCUCUUUUGUCAAUGCCUGCCCGAUUCCUGAAAUGGAGUAUUCCAGAAAGUGUCGGGUUUGCUCUGGAUACCCCGUCCCUUGGGGCAUCCAUUGUUCAGGGAGUGCCUGUGAUACUUGAAAUUCUUAGGGAAUCAGAGCUGGGGACUCUUGGCCUCUGGGAGAACAGUGUGAGCAGUGGCACUGGGGACACAUGGCUCUGCUCUUCUGUGUGCCUCUGUCCUCAGAGAGGAAAGCUCUGUGCUCUGCAGGGUUAGUUCAGGUGGGAGCCCUCUGAGAUCCAGGCAGUGAGCAGAGCUUUCCAAUGCUUCCUAGCACCCUACCCAAAGGGAAAAAAAGCUUGGGAUAUUUGCUUAAUUGCCUGCUCUGAGUCUGAGGACUUCUCUUCCUCUCCAUAUCAGACUAGACUGUGCUACAACAGCUGAACCACUGUCAAAUUAAAUGCUAAUGGAGAGGGAGCAGCCUACUACAGCCUUUUCUGUAUUUGUUCAUGUGAUUUUUUUUUUUUUUUUAAUCUUAUGGAUAAUGCCAUGUUAAACAAUGAAAUAGAAUAUGGAGUAGCUUUCUCCAGCAUGCAAAGCUUUCUCUGUGCCUCAGCCAACAGAAGUUUCCCAGCAAUUUUGACUUUGAUUCUUCAGUAUUAGCAUAAUGUUGCCACAUCUUGGUUUGUACAUACUUAAGGGAGGAAAUAGCUUCAAUUGAAUCUGGCUAUUAAAACCUCUUGAUGAUUGUAGCUUUGAAGAUGUAAAUCUUGGGUGCUGGCUGCCUGACAGACACUGUCCAAGUGGAAAGAGUGUUGGCUAAAGGCUGGAAUUUUUCACUGUGAGAUGAAUCCAGCCUUCCCAUCUCCCAGGUGCAGAGACUGUUCACUGCUGUCUCCUCAGAUGCUGACACAUGUGCUUUCCCUGGCCCUAUGGCUACAGGGUGGGGUUUGUUUUCAGCUUACAAAGAAUCCCUCGUCAUCUGGGUGUGGGGAGAGUUUUUCAUAAUGUCCUGGGAAAACCACCUCUGCUGCUCCUGGUGGCAUCACUAAAUGCUUGCCCUUGCCUUAAACAGUGGAAUAUCUCCCUGUGAGCAAAGGAGAGUAGCAUCAGGUAAAAUUUGGGAUACAGUAACUGAAAACUAUGAUAAAAAUCCUGAUGCUGAAAAAAGUGAUGGAGAAAUUAAUUCUUACCUUAAGGGGGGUUUGUUGGCAGUGAUGGUGGCAAUUUCUCAGAAUUUUAGGUAGGCUAUAGGAUUGUUGGUUGCUUGUGUUCUUGGGGAUGGAGCAAUUCCCUGGGAGCCCUUUGUUUGUGCUGGGGACCUCAGCAAUUGCUGCCAUCAGCACAGGCCUGUUCCUGUUAUCAUGCUCAGUGCUGACAAGCUGCUGGCUGCCAUCAGUGUUUUCAGCACCCUCUUGGCCAGCUCUUCUGUGAACAGUGUUUAGUGACACAGUUAAAAUGAUGUCCCCUCCACCCCACUUGCAGGACUGUCCAUGAGUGGGAAUGUGCCAGUAAUAUCUCAGCAACUGGGUAGUGUUUGCAAAACCUUCCAUGGACCAGGCUGUGGGCUUGGUUGUCCCAAAGCUUUGAGUGUGAUUCUGCUGUAGGGGAGCAACUCCUGUUCCUGGAGCUGUCAAAAAGUCCUGGACAGAGUGGUUCCUGCUGGGCUGGGAGGAGUCCCUGAGCUGCGAGGGAGUCGUGGGGAGCCCCACAGAGCCACAGUGCUGUUCUGCCAUGCUGGACUGACACAUUCACGUCUCUGAGAUGGCAACACUUGGGUUAUUGCACUUACUGUUGUGCUCAAGGUACAUCUCACUGCCUGUGAGUGGAGAAAUUGAGAUGUGUCUCCUCUAACAUGUGAGGCAAAUGCUUGGGAAUUUUGGAUUUGGGGCUUCAGCAAUCAGCAUAGCCUAAAAUAGCCCGUUGGAGCUGCUGAGCUCUGACAUAGAUAAGAAGAGAUUUGGUUUGCCAUGGUUUCCAGGCAUUUCUGGCCAUAUGGAUUUUGACUGACUGUGACUUUGAGGAGGUGUGUUGAGAUUCCCUGGACUUCUGCAGUGGCAGGGAAGUGAGUUAAAAGCAUCCACAUAUGCCAUCCUCCAAGAUAUGUGGCAGUUCAUGAAGUGAAGUGAUGGUGAAGGGAGAGGAUAUUUCAUGCAGUGCAUCAUUAGCUGGUGGAACUUAAUUCUGUAGGAGAUUCUAGAAACUGCUAGCUUGGAGAAAAACUAAAAACACUUCCCUAAUUACACCAAACUUGGAUGAUUAAUGCUAGUACCCUCGGUGCACUUAGGAGUGGCUAGAGUGGUGGAUG
This is a non-coding RNA of Sturnus vulgaris (Common starling), 4425 nucleotides long. Lineage: Eukaryota; Metazoa; Chordata; Aves; Passeriformes; Sturnidae. The record is from RefSeq and is a predicted model, not a curated record.